Long non-coding RNA from Austrofundulus limnaeus, 431 nucleotides. RefSeq lists it as uncharacterized. The record is from RefSeq and is a predicted model, not a curated record. NCBI's taxonomy places the organism in Eukaryota, Metazoa, Chordata, Actinopteri, Cyprinodontiformes, Rivulidae. The transcript has 3 exons.
GCAGGAGUCAGCUGCAUGUUGAACACCCAUACAACUGGGAGAAUGGAAAAAUUCUUYAAAGAACCACUGAAGUUUGGUCCAGACAGAUUCAACCCAGAACUUCCCAAAUGGAGGCUAAAAUGUGAUGGUGAAGCUGCUCCAGAGGUUUGACUUCUCCCUCUUUCCAGGACAGACCGUUGACAUUGAGGACAUCGCUGCACGGAGGCCAAAAUGGUGAGUGAUUUGCUCCAUUAAACACAGGAAGUAGAAUUUAAAAGAUGCUAAAACCUAAUAACAAAUUACUGGAUGUUCAGACAAGCUAAUUGUUGCUGUUUUUCUCUCAAGCAGAAAGUUUUUAUGAUUGAGGUGAUAAAAAGUAYAUGUUGACCACAGUAGAUUCCAAUGAUUGUCUUUGAUUUUCUUCUUGCUAUCUUUGCCUUUUUGUUUUUUUC